This 320-nucleotide ribosomal RNA is filed under the name uncultured bacterium. RNAcentral's name for it is "bacterial SSU rRNA". It matches the Rfam family "Bacterial small subunit ribosomal RNA", at positions 1 to 322 of the family's 1533-position model. The record is from RNAcentral.
GAAUUCGCCCUUGUUUGAUCCUGGCUCAGGAUGAACGCUAGCGGCAGGCCUAACACAUGCAAGUCGAGGGGUAGAACACUUCGGUGUUUGAGACCGGCGCACGGGUGCGUAACGCGUAUGCAAUCUACCUUAUACAGGGGAAUAGCCCAGAGAAAUUUGGAUUAAUGCCCCAUAGUGUUAUAGAAUCGCAUGGUUUUAUAACUAAAGUUCCAACGGUAUAAGAUGAGCAUGCGUCCCAUUAGUUAGUUGGUAAGGUAACGGCUUACCAAGACAAUGAUGGGUAGGGGUCCUGAGAGGGAGAUCCCCCACACUGGUACUGA